Pseudopipra pipra is the source of this 3341-nucleotide long non-coding RNA. RefSeq lists it as uncharacterized. The record is from RefSeq and is a predicted model, not a curated record. Lineage: Eukaryota; Metazoa; Chordata; Aves; Passeriformes; Pipridae. The transcript has 2 exons.
CUGCCUGCUUGAGCAGCAAAGGUUAUUUCCCACCCUUGUACAACAUGUUCUAAUAUUUAAAAACAUUCAGUUGAAUUCCACAUCUCUUGUGCCCUUUAUUUUCCUGACAGCUUCUCCUGGACGGGAAGUACGGGAAAAUCCAAACGGCAGCAACCGAGCAAAGAGCCAGGAACCACUGCAGCCGGGGCCAGCCCUGGGUGUUUUGUUUAAAAUGCAACUUAGAGAGAGCUGUAAGACUAAAUAUGUAUUCUAACUGCUCUAACACUUAGUAGAACUCUAAGAAAAAGCAGUCUUGGAAGUAGGAAAUGCACAUCUGAAGGGAAAGCCGGAGCCGCUGCACAUCUCCCUUUCUUGGCUGCCAGGAGCAGCAAGGAAGUGAUUACACAGCAUUUAUUUGCAAAAUCACAGCCAAUAAAUCCAACAGCAGCAACACCCACCCUCGAAUCACUUGGUCCUUAGUGGGGGGGGAAUGAAGGAGAGGUGUAGGUCUGACAAACAGGCAGGUGCAUGGCAGGAGCUCCUCAUUCCGAAGCUUUUCGGGAAGACUUCAAGUCUAUAAGGUGGAAUAUUCACCCAGGCCUGUCCCUUUCCUCUGCACACGCUUUCUUGAAGCCCAGGAAAAUACAAAGCCCUAGAAAGGCAAUGAAGGUUGUGAUAAGAAAACCCCCUGAAAAGGUUUAAAAAAUAAAAUAAAAUAGGACUGGGCUGUUGAAUGAGGAAACGAGUAAGGGAGAGCAAGAGAAAAUAAAAUGGUACAAAAAAAGCCAUCUCAGUUCCCCUCCCCUUUCCUGGAUACAAAUACCAUCACAAGAAAACCGUAGGAAGCGAAUCUGACUGCUUUGAAAAUCACUGAGGUCAAAAGCACGAGAGAAGAAAGGAAAAAGGAUUAAACAAAGGGAUGAUAUAAUCUCCCCAGCCAUAAUUCAAACCUUCGAGGUAUAAAUAGCUCCACUACAGGGCUCAAGUCAACCACUAAUUUACAGAGCAAUCAGGAGGGGGAGGCAGAUACCCAUCCCCACAAGCAGAUUAAUCCUUAAUUGCUCGGUUUUUUGCAUUUCUGACACCUUCCUUUGAAGUCCCAAAGCCGGUUCCGUCUCACAAAAGGCACUGACGAGCCUGAAAAUUGGCGAGAGAUGAGCCUUGCUGCUGCUUGUUUGGGCCCCGUGCACAGUCCCAGAUGCUUUCCUGGGUCCUCCAUUCAAAGAAGAAAGGAGACGGAUGGAAUCCGCGGGGAUAAGGGACGAUCAAAGCCGGUGUUUGCCCGUUCGACAGAAAGGGAAGCGGGACUCGGCUGCGGGCUCCUGUUUCACAGUGUUUCUGCAAGACCUUAAUUGCAGAUAAAUACUUACUGGGACAAUUCAAUUGCUUGUGAGCACUUCAAUCGCUUCGGAGGCUUCGUGAAUCCCUCUAGGAAUGCUCGUAAGGACGGUGUGUACGAUGCCGGGAUGAGAGGAGCAGGAUCACCAGGAUCAUCUGCUUGGUGGGGACUGUGGCUUCCAGAAAGGGACACCCAACCCCUCCUCCAGUGUUCUGUCCUUCCCUCUCGAUUCAAGCUUGAUCCAAGGCAACAACGAUAAUGGAAAUGCAACUAUGCAGGAGUUUCUUCGGUCCCUGCACGUAUCCUCCCUCCAACUGCAUCAGUUUUUAGGGGAGAAAUUCCUUCAUUCUUCACCACACUGUGAACUUCUGCACUGAGGUUUAAGAGCACAUCCCUGGAUGGGUCUUUGAGAGCCCUGGUCUUCCUGUUCCCUUGUACAUCCCGUGUUCCCAGGGGGAAUGACUGAGUGUUUGGUGCUUUCCUAAUCAUACUGACUGUGUCCUGGCACCUCCUGCACAUCCUCUUGUGUCUAGUGGGUUAAUUAACCAUCCUGCCCCUGCUGAGGUGGGUCCUCACUGAAUUCCAGACUAUUUAACUAAAUAAAAAUAUCAUAACAGAAUCAAUGGUUUGGGUUGGAAGGGACCUCAAAGAUCAUCUUGUUUCAUCUCCUGACAUGGGCAGGAACACCUUCUACUAGCCCAGGUUGAUCCAAGCCCUGUCCAACCUGGCCUUGGACACUUCCAGGGAUCCAGGGGCAGCCACAGCUUCUCUGCCCAACCUGGGACAGGGCCUCCCCACCCUCACAGCCAACAAUUCCUUCCCAAUAUCCCAUCUAAUAUCCCCUCCCAAUAUCUUCCCUCUGGCACUGGGAAGCCAUUCCCCCUUGUCCUGUCCCUCCCUCCCUUGUCCCCAGUCCCUCUCCAGCUCUCCUGGAGCCCCUUUAGGCCCUGCCAGGGGCUCUCAGCUCUCCCUGGAGCCUUCUCUUCUCCAGGGGAACCCCCCCAGCUCUCCCAGACUGGCUCCAGAGCAGAGGGGCUCCAGCCCUGGCAGCAUCUCCAGGGCCUCCUCUGGACUCUCUCCAGCAGCUCCACGUCCUUGUGCUGUUGUUCCCAGGGCUGGAGCAGCUCUGCAGGGGGGAGGGUCUCACCUGAGUGGGGCAGAGGGACAGAAUCCCCUCCCUCAAACUCAUGUGUCCAGUAACUUGUCCUGAAUUGCUGCUGUCAGCACAGCUUUUCAAAAUCCAUCCUUCCUGCUGGCAGGGAGCAGGAGGGAGGUCAUCUCCCUGGAGCCUGGCUGCCAACUGCAGCCUUUGUGCCCAGAGCUGGGCCUGCGGUGGGAAGAGUCCAUCAGCUCUCUGAUGGAAUGGCUGCUCCUCCCCCUAACACUUUCCCUGUGCCCAAAAAUCCAAGAAGUGCCUCCAUAAGCCACUAAGGACAAUAAAUACAUGCAGAGACGUGUUGAUUCCGGUGUGAUGGGGCUGCUCUCCCAGGAGAACUCGAGAUGUUCUUUCCUUGCUCAGCGCCCGGCGCUGUACCCAUGAGAGGACGGAACAGUCCUUAUAAACAGUCAGCCAGGAGUGGGAAUGUGGGGGCUGCUCUCCCUGUUUAAGACAACAGAGUUAUCAUUCCCUAAAAAGAGGGGACACUUGCCUUCUCCACACUUCAUGGUACUUCCAUGAGAUCCCAACCAGCAGCAUCCAUACCAAGGCUGUCUUCUCUGACGCUUUACUUGCCUGCAAAAUUCUUCCCGUGUUUUUCCAUAUUUUAUAGCAACAGCUUCUCUGCUUUGCCUUUUGAUGUCAAAUUUCUCCUGCGAAACAGCUGGUUUGUCACCACCCCAGACCAGGGAGAAGCACACAUUUGGAUUUCUGCUGUGAAGUGCCGGGAUUUUUACAGUCGUUACGUAGCACUUUAAAGCCCCACGGGGCAGGAGAUGGAGCAGGAGGGAGCUGUGUCCCUGCACAUCUUUUACUAACAGGACAAAAGGCCUUUUACUAACUGUAAUAAAUUGGUUUGACGCUUCA